Molecule: ribosomal RNA, 135 nt
Filed under: uncultured Chloroflexota bacterium
Lineage: Bacteria; Bacillati; Chloroflexota
Description: uncultured Chloroflexi bacterium partial 16S ribosomal RNA
Rfam family: Bacterial small subunit ribosomal RNA
Source: RNAcentral
UGAGGAAUAUUGAGCAAUGGGCGAAAGCUUGACUCAGCAACGCCGCGUGGGCGAUGAAGGCCUUCGGGUUGUAAAGCCCUUUUCCGGGGACGAGAGAGGACUGUACCCUGGGAAUAAGGUUCGGCUAACUACGUG